GAUGAACGCUGGCGGCGUGCCUAAUACAUGCAAGUCGAGCGAACAGAUGAGGAGCUUGCUCCUCUGACGUUAGCGGCGGACGGGUGAGUAACACGUGGAUAACCUACCUAUAGGACUGGGAUAACUUCGGGAAACCGGAGCUAAUACCGGAUAAUAUAUUGAACCGCAUGGUUCAAUAGUGAAAGACGGUUUUGCUGUCACUUAUAGAUGGAUCCGCGCCGCAUUAGCUAGUUGGUAAGGUAACGGCUUACCAAGGCAACGAUGCGUAGCCGACCUGAGAGGGUGAUCGGCCACACUGGAACUGAGACACGGUCCAGACUCCUACGGGAGGCAGCAGUAGGGAAUCUUCCGCAAUGGGCGAAAGCCUGACGGAGCAACGCCGCGUGAGUGAUGAAGGUCUUCGGAUCGUAAAACUCUGUUAUUGGGGAAGAACAAAUGUGUAAGUAACUAUGCACGUCUUGACGGUACCUAAUCAGAAAGCCACGGCUAACUACGUG
This 497-nucleotide ribosomal RNA is filed under the name uncultured bacterium. RNAcentral describes it as "partial 16S ribosomal RNA". It matches the Rfam family "Bacterial small subunit ribosomal RNA", at positions 28 to 507 of the family's 1533-position model. The record is from RNAcentral.